This 72-nucleotide transfer RNA is filed under the name Mycobacterium intracellulare. RNAcentral describes it as "tRNA-Asn". It matches the Rfam family "tRNA". From Rfam's summary of the family: Transfer RNA (tRNA) molecules are approximately 80 nucleotides in length. Lineage: Bacteria; Bacillati; Actinomycetota; Actinomycetes; Mycobacteriales; Mycobacteriaceae. The record is from RNAcentral.
UGGCCAGUCGGUUAAUCGGCAAACCAGUGCGCUGUUAACGCAUGACUCCUGGUUCGAGUCCAGGUUGGCCAG